AGGGUUUGAUCAUGGCUCAAAUUGAACGCUGGCGGCAGGCCUAACACAUGCAAGUCGAGCGGUAGAGAGAAGCUUGCUUCUCUUGAGAGCGGCGGACGGGUGAGUAAUGCCUAGGAAUCUGCCUGGUAGUGGGGGAUAACGUUCGGAAACGGACGCUAAUACCGCAUACGUCCUACGGGAGAAAGCAGGGGACCUUCGGGCCUUGCGCUAUCAGAUGAGCCUAGGUCGGAUUAGCUAGUUGGUGAGGUAAUGGCUCACCAAGGCGACGAUCCGUAACUGGUCUGAGAGGAUGAUCAGUCACACUGGAACUGAGACACGGUCCAGACUCCUACGGGAGGCAGCAGUGGGGAAUAUUGGACAAUGGGCGAAAGCCUGAUCCAGCCAUGCCGCGUGUGUGAAGAAGGUCUUCGGAUUGUAAAGCACUUUAAGUUGGGAGGAAGGGUUGUAGAUUAAUACUCUGCAAUUUUGACGUUACCGACAGAAUAAGCACCGGCUAACUCUGUGCCAGCAGCCGCGGUAAUACAGAGGGUGCAAGCGUUAAUCGGAAUUACUGGGCGUAAAGCGUGCGUAGGUGGUUUGUUAAGUUGGAUGUGAAAUCCCCGGGCUCAACCUGGGAACUGCAUUCAAAACUGACUGACUAGAGUAUGGUAGAGGGUGGUGGAAUUUCCUGUGUAGCGGUGAAAUGCGUAGAUAUAGGAAGGAACACCAGUGGCGAAGGCGACCACCUGGACUAAUACUGACACUGAGGUGCGAAAGCGUGGGGAGCAAACAGGAUUAGAUACCCUGAUAGUCCACGCCGUAAACGAUGUCAACUAGCCGUUGAAAGCCUUGAGCUUUUAGUGGCGCAGCUAACGCAUUAAGUUGACCGCCUGGGGAGUACGGCCGCAAGGUUAAAACUCAA
This 901-nucleotide ribosomal RNA is filed under the name uncultured Gammaproteobacteria bacterium. RNAcentral describes it as "bacterial SSU rRNA". It matches the Rfam family "Bacterial small subunit ribosomal RNA", at positions 8 to 904 of the family's 1533-position model. Lineage: Bacteria; Pseudomonadati; Pseudomonadota; Gammaproteobacteria. The record is from RNAcentral.